CCAUCCUCCAAGGCUAAAUACUCCUGACUGACCGAUAGUGAACCAGUACCGUGAGGGAAAGGCGAAAAGAACCCCGGCGAGGGGAGUGAAAAAGAACCUGAAACCGUGUACGUACAAGCAGUGGGAGCCCCACCACUAAGCCAGUGGUGAACUCCACAUCCGCAUCCUUUGCUGAGGAUACGGUUAACGGAGCGAAAGCGACGUUCAACCGCAAAACAAGCAGAGGGGGCUUAGUGGUGGGGUGACUGCGUACCUUUUGUAUAAUGGGUCAGCGACUUAUAUUCUGUAGCAAGGUUAACCGAAUAGGGGAGCCGGAGGGAAACCGAGUCUUAAUUGGGCGUUAAGUUGCAGGGUAUAGACCCGAAACCCGGUGAUCUAG
Molecule: ribosomal RNA, 379 nt
Filed under: Salmonella enterica subsp. enterica serovar Typhimurium
Lineage: Bacteria; Pseudomonadati; Pseudomonadota; Gammaproteobacteria; Enterobacterales; Enterobacteriaceae
Description: partial 23S ribosomal RNA
Rfam family: Bacterial large subunit ribosomal RNA
Source: RNAcentral